Monodelphis domestica (gray short-tailed opossum) is the source of this 1693-nucleotide long non-coding RNA. The record is from Ensembl. NCBI's taxonomy places the organism in Eukaryota, Metazoa, Chordata, Mammalia, Didelphimorphia, Didelphidae.
CUCUUAGAGUCAAUACUAUAUAUUCUUUCCAAGGCAGAAGAGUGGUAAGGGCCAAGCAAUGGGAAUUAAGUGACUUGCCCAGGGUCACACAGCUAGGAAGUGUCUGAGUCACAUUUGAACCCAGGACUUCCCAUCCUUGGGCCUGGCUCUCAAUCUGAGCCACCUCGCUGCCUCAAUGGACUUUGCUUUUGUGCUAUUAGAAAAAGUGAUACAAUGGAUACUGUUCUGGAUUUGAAGUCAAGAAGACCGGGUUUUUAAUUCUACCUCGGAUAUUUAAUAGCCAUAUGACCUCAAGCAACUUACUUAACCUCUCUUAGCCUCAGUUUCUUCAUUUGUAAAAAUAAAGCAUUUUAAAAAUGUAAUAAGAAUCAAGUGAGGUUUUUAACACAAACAUAUAUCACUUUGUAAGCCUUAAAGUGCUAAUAAACAGCAGUUAUUGUUAUUGUUUUCCUAUUUGUCUUCAUACAACCACAGUCUAAGUCUGGAAACAGCCUUACAGUGCAUAGACCAAAGGACAUACCCAGCAGGCAACUGUCCAGUCUGUGCUUACAGACCCCCAAGGAAGGAAGACACAGCACUGUGGAGGCACCCGGUUCCCUUUUGGUCAGCUCUCCUGGUUAGGAAGUGGUCCUGCGUAUCAGAGCUGUCCUGCCUCGUUUCGUCUCCCAUCCAGUGCUCCAGGUUCUGCCCUCUGGGCCCAAAGAUACUAAAUCCGCUCGGGGAAGCCCUUCAAAUGCGUGAAGGCAGCUCUCAUUUCUCCCCCAGAGCCCAACCCUUUCGCUUAAUCCUGCUUCAUCCUGAAUUCUAGACCCUUUCACGGCUCUAGAGAGUCUCCAGCUUAUUAAGGUCCUUCUUAAACCCCGUCAACCAGAACCGAGGUCUGCGGACACGGCGGGAUGGUCAUCUCUGCAUUCCUGGAAGCGUUGCCCAAGGCCACAUUCACUCCUUUGACCACCCCCUCACGCUGCUGACUCACACGGAGCCUUCCGUCCCCGAAAACCUCAAGAUCUGGCAUUUCAGGCCAAAUUCAGAGGUUUUGUCCUGCCCCUCCUGUCCGGAGAAUAUCCUCCUGGGAAGAAGCCGCGGAGACAAAGGACGAGUUACGUAAUUUUGCUAAGUCCUGCGCACCCUACCUUAGAAACAUCACUUCUCCCAGCCCUCUCGGACGCCCUGACGCCUCCCGGCUCUCCCCAGCCCCGUCCAUCUAUCGCUCAGCUGUCAGCCUCGUCUUCCCAAGAGCUCAUUAUAGAUAUCAUCACAUUGGGUCCUCACAGCCCUGUGAGGGAGGUACUGUUUUUAAUCACCAUUUUACAGAUGAAGAAACUGAGGCUGAGAGAUAAUCAAACAGCUAGUAAGUAUCUGAAGGAAGAAGUGGAUUCAGGUAUUUUUGACUAUAAAUCCAGCACUCUUAUGCCAACCUCCUACCUCAGGUUCAUUUUUCAUGAAAUGAGAUAAUAUUUAUAUAAUGUAUAGUUGUUGUUCAUCCUUCAUUCCUUUUUCUUUUUCUAACCCUAACUUUCUGGCUUAUUAACAACUCUAAAUCAGAAGGGCAAGGGCUAGGCAAAUGGUUUUUGGCCAGGGUCACACAUCUAGGAAGUGUCUCAGGUCAGAUUUGAACCCAGGUUCAAAUUGAACCCAGACUUGGCACUCUAUUCACUAUUCCACUUAGCUGCCCCAUCCUUUGUUUUCAAAG